CAGUCGCCGCGGUAAUACAGAGGGUGCGAGCGUUAAUCGGAUUUACUGGGCGUAAAGCGUGUGUAGGCGGCUUUUUAAGUCGGAUGUGAAAUCCCUGAGCUUAACUUAGGAAUUGCAUUCGAUACUGGGAAGCUAGAGUAUGGGAGAGGAUGGUAGAAUUCCAGGUGUAGCGGUGAAAUGCGUAGAGAUCUGGAGGAAUACCGAUGGCGAAGGCAGCCAUCUGGCCUAAUACUGACGCUGAGGUACGAAAGCAUGGGGAGCAAACAGGAUUAGAUACCCCGGUAGUCCCUGUCUCUUAUAC
RNAcentral lists this ribosomal RNA (301 nucleotides) under uncultured bacterium. RNAcentral describes it as "partial 16S ribosomal RNA". It matches the Rfam family "Bacterial small subunit ribosomal RNA", at positions 509 to 807 of the family's 1533-position model. The record is from RNAcentral.